GACGAAGGAUGCAAGCGUUAUCCGGAUUCAUUGGGUUUAAAGGGAGCGUAGGUGGUCUUAUAAGUCAGUGGUGAAAUCUCGCAGCUUAACUGCGAAACUGCCAUUGAUACUGCAGGACUUGAGUAUAGUUGCUGUGGGCGGAAUAUGACAUGUAGUGGUGAAAUACUUAGAGAUGUCAUAGAACACCGAUUGCGAAGGCAGCUCACAAAACUAUAACUGACACUGAGGCUCGAAAGUGCGGGGAUCAAACAGG
Molecule: ribosomal RNA, 253 nt
Filed under: uncultured bacterium
Lineage: Bacteria
Description: partial 16S ribosomal RNA
Rfam family: Bacterial small subunit ribosomal RNA
Source: RNAcentral